This 377-nucleotide ribosomal RNA is filed under the name uncultured bacterium. RNAcentral's name for it is "bacterial SSU rRNA". It matches the Rfam family "Bacterial small subunit ribosomal RNA", at positions 29 to 417 of the family's 1533-position model. The record is from RNAcentral.
AUUGAACGCUGGCGGCAUGCCUAACACAUGCAAGUCGAACGGGGGCAGCAAUGCCCUAGUGGCGGACGGGUGAGGAAUACGUAGGAACCGGCCCACGAGUGGGGGACAACCUGGGGAAACCCAGGCUAAUACCGCAUACGCUCGCGAGAGGAAAGCGGGGGACCUUCGGGCCUCGCGCUGGUGGACGGGCCUACGUCCGAUUAGCUAGUUGGUGGGGUAAAAGCCUACCAAGGCGACGAUCGGUAGCUGGUCUGAGAGGAUGAUCAGCCACACUGGGACUGAGACACGGCCCAGACUCCUACGGGAGGCAGCAGUGGGGAAUAUUGGACAAUGGGCGCAAGCCUGAUCCAGCCAUGCCGCGUGAGUGAAGAAGGCCU